CGUUAACCUUUCUUCUAAGUCCUAGCUGAGAUUUGUUCUUUUGUGGAAUAGCAUUUUGACUGAAGGAGCGAGAAAGCAGGAGAAAAUUCUCCUGUUUUUUUCCCCCAUGCUUGGGAUCUAAAAGUCUGGACGCAAUGCAGCCUAGCUCCGUUCUAGACUCCUCCACAGGAAGCCUCGGGAGCCCCCCUCUCAUGAUGACCCAGCUCCUAGGAUGCCGACUGUAUCCCGGAUGUCAUUUUUGCAGUAAGAGAGCUGCCGGAUGCAGUUGUUGACGGCAACGCUGCUCUUCCCAGGAGCGAGGUCCUCCUCUGCCAUUUCUACCCAUCCCAGAGAACGCACGGCGAAACACUGGAAGACAGAGCACAAAGUACACACUGACCUCGGCCCAGCUCCACCAGGUUACCAAAAUCCCCCGCAAGGCACGCGUAAUGCAUCUUCAAGCGUCGAAUUCAGCAGACAAAUCCCCUAAAUUGUUGGAAAAUUAAAG
Suricata suricatta (meerkat) is the source of this 487-nucleotide long non-coding RNA. RefSeq lists it as uncharacterized. The transcript has 3 exons. Lineage: Eukaryota; Metazoa; Chordata; Mammalia; Carnivora; Herpestidae. The record is from RefSeq and is a predicted model, not a curated record.